GAUGCUCCUCUGGAGACUCCCAUCUAGGUUCAGAAGAAGCUGACUAUGGCAGCCUAUGUCCCUGGCAUCCCAGAGAUGAUCAGAAGUGAACCAGACUUUCUCGCUGGGAUCCCCGGGCCCACACCGGACUCUGUGCCUCCUGGAGCUCGGCCAAUGAUAUCUGAUGGGCAAAAAUGGCGCACAUUGAAGAUUACAACCUGGUGUUUCGAUGUAUGUCAAAACUGUGAGGUCAUCGUGAUCAGGUUCAUUAACAUCACUCCUGUCCCCACACAGACCCUGUGCUCUCCCAUUUUUGUAUACGAAGAAGACUGAAUGAACACUGACACUUGGUGAACAAUGCCUCGGGAACUAUGAGGGAGGCUCCAGGAAAGGCAGAGGGUGUUUUACCGCGGGUACAUUUUGUUCCCUGGAUUGUUCUUGGACAUGAUUUCGUGCCUCUCACAACAAACAUUAACAUCCAGUUUACAAGACAUGUUUACUCUUGUUGGAUGUCAGAUCAUAGCUAUAGAAGCCAACCUGGUGAAAGGGUGUGCUGGGUGCUGUCCUCAGGGCACCCUGAGUCUGGAUAUGGCUUUCUGCCUCGCUUUCCUGCUCUCCCAGACAUCAUCUACAGAGCGGGCCAGGCAACUGUUUAACUGAUCUAUCCUGAGAAAGUUCUGGGAAAGGACUGUUCUGCCUGUAUUUAGCAUGUGCUUCCUGGGGUUAUUUACAUGUUUUUCUGUAGCCAAGAAGAACCUUCUUGUAUCAUCGAUUUGUUUCAUUCAUGUAUAAAGCACACUGAAACUGAAGUACAGUUGUCUACAGCAUUAGACUGUAUCUGCCCCAUUUUUUCAGGUCCUCAGAUCCCAGGUCUCUCUGAUACAGAAUUGCAUAGGUCAAUGAAAGUCGAAAGAACACCUUUUUCUUAAAAAACCAGAACUUGAGCCCCUGGCUGAGGCAAGCGUUUCUUCCGAACCCUCCUCCACAUACCGUGAAC
Molecule: non-coding RNA, 976 nt
Organism: Peromyscus maniculatus bairdii (prairie deer mouse)
Lineage: Eukaryota; Metazoa; Chordata; Mammalia; Rodentia; Cricetidae
Source: RefSeq, a predicted model, not a curated record